UACUCCGGGGUCGGUGAAAGUCCGAACCGGCGGUGAUAGUCCGCGACCCACCCUCACAGAUUAGGGCGGUUGAGCCGGUGAAAUUCCGGCACCGACGGUUACAGUCCGGAUGGGAGGAG
Molecule: non-coding RNA, 119 nt
Filed under: human oral metagenome
Description: FMN riboswitch (RFN element)
Rfam family: FMN riboswitch aptamer (RFN element)
About the family: The RFN element is a highly conserved domain that is found frequently in the 5'-untranslated regions of prokaryotic mRNAs that encode for flavin mononucleotide (FMN) biosynthesis and transport proteins. This element is a metabolite-dependent riboswitch that directly binds FMN in the absence of proteins. In Bacillus subtilis, the riboswitch most likely controls gene expression by causing premature transcription termination within the 5' untranslated region of the ribDEAHT operon and precluding access to the ribosome-binding site of ypaA mRNA.
Source: RNAcentral